This is a non-coding RNA of 187 nucleotides. It matches the Rfam family "Eukaryotic large subunit ribosomal RNA", at positions 1 to 191 of the family's 3401-position model.
UGACCUCGGAUCAGGUAGGAAUACCCGCUGAACUUAAGCAUAUCAAUAAGCGGAGGAAAAGAAACCAACAGGGAUUGCCCUAGUAACGGCGAGUGAAGCGGCAACAGCUCAAAUUUGAAAUCUGGCUCUCGGGCCCGAGUUGUAAUUUGUAGAGGAUACUUUUGAUGCGGUGCCUUCCGAGUUCCCU